UUGUUCUCGGUGUGAGACCCACUAUUGCUGGUGUCAGCAUUAAUCCAUCUAGCAAAAGUGGGAAGGACUAAAUACCAUUUUGGUCCCAUCAAAAGUCCAUUGGUACGAUAGAGAUUCCGAUUAUAAAUUCCUAUUGCUUGCCCAAGUUUACAGGUUUCUCUCUUUCCCUCCCCCCCUACCUUCCUUUCUCCCUCCCUUCCUUCCUUGUUAACUGAUUCUGCUACUGACAGCACAUAAAAUCAGCCCUCAGCUACCAGAGUAGGAGAGAACUAUAGGCUUUAUGAUUUCUGUUAUUCAUUUGUAGAGAUAAUGUAUAACCCGCAUUCCCUAAUAUGAUGGUUGUAGCCCUAAAUGACAAUACACAAUUAUUUAUGAUAUCUCUUCAAAAAAAAUAAAGCAGGGCAAGAAAAAAGGAACAUUGCACAGUCCAGAUCUUAUUGUCCCAGUUUCUCUGGAUAUUGUAGGGAAUUUAAGUCAAGUGGGAUCAUGCUGCUUAUUGCAAUAUGGGCUAUUUGUUCUGCCUCAGACUUUGGAUGCCACCAUUACUGACACAUUUUUCAGAACAACUAAACACCUAAAAACCAGAAAUAUUAAUAACUCAUUCAGAAAAGCAGUGAUCAGCUUUUUUAUCAUAACAGGAAAUGCUGCAAAGGAACUGGAUUUUGCAGAGUAAUACUGUUCUUUGCCUGUAACAUCUUUUAUACAUUAUGCUCCUUUCUCGUAAACUGACACUGUCAUUUUCUUUAUUUAAACCCGUUUAUUAACUAGAUGCUCAACACUGCUUCUUGCAUCUGGUAACAAAGAUGUAUUGGAUAAAGCCAUUCAUUCACCAACGUUGAGACCCCACUAUCUCCUCAUAUUAUCCUUAUGCAAAACAUGGACAAACGAGGUCUAGUUGAAUGAUUAUCUUAAAUGAUGCCCAUCCAAGAGGUCCCUGGCAGAAGACUGCAUUUUUUUUCUUCAGUUCUGCCUGUUCAACACUGAAAUCAACACAUUGGAGAAAUUACUUGAAAGGCAUACUUUUUCGAGGGAGCCGGAGGGAGAGGUUCAGGAGGGGAAGGAAAGAGAGCAGAGUAAGUAGGAGGAAGUUACUCGUCUAAAGAGGCAUUUUAGGAUGUUUACACUGAAGGCACCUACAUCUUUACCUCCUUUUGUGUAGCGAAAUGAAGGCCAGCCAUGAUCAGCAAGGCUGGAGAACAGAGUCAUUAAAAAGACGGAGUCAUUAGCUGCUGAUGGUGCUGGUCCUGUCCUCCCAUACGGCACAAAGAGGAACGGUCAUGAUAAUGCCAACCUGGGGAUGGUGAAGACAAGUGACGGGAAGACAGCAGACCCAACACCUGGCGGAUCUCAUUCCACGCGCAGGCUGAAGGUGAAGGGGCAAUGGAACAGAGUGGUUUUAAGUCCAUAAAAGGAUUACUGACAGGGGCACCUGGGUGGCUCAGUUGGUUGAACAUCUGACUCUUGACUUCAGCUCAAGUUACAAU
Molecule: long non-coding RNA, 1484 nt
Organism: Lynx canadensis (Canada lynx)
Lineage: Eukaryota; Metazoa; Chordata; Mammalia; Carnivora; Felidae
Exons: 5
Source: RefSeq, a predicted model, not a curated record